Molecule: ribosomal RNA, 239 nt
Filed under: uncultured Lysobacterales bacterium
Lineage: Bacteria; Pseudomonadati; Pseudomonadota; Gammaproteobacteria; Lysobacterales
Description: uncultured Xanthomonadales bacterium partial 16S ribosomal RNA
Rfam family: Bacterial small subunit ribosomal RNA
Source: RNAcentral
CGAGUGGCGGACGGGUGAGGAAUACAUCGGAAUCUACUCUUUCGUGGGGGAUAACGUAGGGAAACUUACGCUAAUACCGCAUACGACCUACGGGUGAAAGCGGAGGACCUUCGGGCUUCGCGCGAUUGAAUGAGCCGAUGUAGGAUUAGCUAGUUGGCGGGGUAAAGGCCCACCAAGGCGACGAUCCGUAGCUGGUCUGAGAGGAUGAUCAGCCACACUGGAACUGAGACACGGUCCAG